AUUGACCUCGGAUCAGGUAGGGAUACCCGCUGAACUUAAGCAUAUCAAUAAGCGGAGGAAAAGAAACCAACAGGGAUUGCCUCAGUAACGGCGAGUGAAGCGGCAACAGCUCAAAUUUGAAAUCUGGCCCUUUCAGGGUCCGAGUUGUAAUUUGCAGAGGAGGUUUCGGGGGCGGCGCCGGUCUAAGUCCCUUGGAACAGGGCGUCAUAGAGGGUGAGAAUCCCGUAUGGGACCGGUGGCCAACCCCAUGUGAAACUCCUUCGACGAGUCGAGUUGUUUGGGAAUGCAGCUCUAAAUGGGUGGUAAAUUUCAUCUAAAGCUAAAUACCGGCCAGAGACCGAUAGCGCACAAGUAGAGUGAUCGAAAGAUGAAAAGCACUUUGGAAAGAGAGUCAAAAAGUACGUGAAAUUGUUGAAA
RNAcentral lists this ribosomal RNA (417 nucleotides) under Xanthoparmelia claviculata. Its description in RNAcentral is "eukaryotic LSU rRNA". It matches the Rfam family "Eukaryotic large subunit ribosomal RNA", at positions 1 to 413 of the family's 3401-position model. Lineage: Eukaryota; Fungi; Ascomycota; Lecanoromycetes; Lecanorales; Parmeliaceae. The record is from RNAcentral.